GGCCUACCAUGGUGGUAACGGGUAACGGGGUGUUAGGGCACGACACCGGAGAGGGAGCCUGAGAAACGGCUACCACAUCCAAGGAUGGCAGCAGGCGCGCAAAUUACCCAAUCCCGACACGGGGAGGUAGUGACAAUAAAUAACAAUACGGGGUUCUUUAGGAUCUCGUAAUUGGAAUGAGUACAAUUUAAAUCUCUUAACGAGGAACAAUUGGAGGGCAAGUCUGGUGCCAGCAGCCGCGGUAAUUCCAGCUCCAAUAGCGUAUAUUAAAGUUGUUGCAGUUAAAAAGCUCGUAGUUGAAUUUCGGGGUUAGUAGGUUGGUCAUGCCUCUGGUAUGUACUGGUCUCACUGAUUCCUCCUUCCUUAUGAACCGUAAUGCCAUUAAUUUGGUGUUGCGGGGAAUUUGGACUGUUACUUUGAAAAAAUUAGAGUGUUUAAAGCAAGCUAACGCUUGAAUACAUUAGCAUGGAAUAAUGAAAUAGGACGUUCGAUCUUAUUUUGUUGGUUUCUAGGAUUGACGUAAUGAUUAAUAGGGAUAGUUGGGGGCAUUAGUAUUCAAUUGUCAGAGGUGAAAUUCUUGAAUUUAUUGAAGACUAACUACUGCGAAAGCAUUUGCCAAGGAUGUUUUCAUUAAUCAAGAACGAAAGUUAGGGGAUCGAAGACGAUCAGAUACCGUCGUAGUCUUAACCAUAAACUAUGCCGACUAGGGAUCGGAUGA
This 718-nucleotide ribosomal RNA is filed under the name uncultured fungus. RNAcentral's name for it is "SSU rRNA". It matches the Rfam family "Eukaryotic small subunit ribosomal RNA", at positions 338 to 1060 of the family's 1831-position model. Lineage: Eukaryota; Fungi. The record is from RNAcentral.